GCAAAGUUACAUUCUGUUUGCUUUCAUAAAACCUUCCGUUUUGUCCUCUUGACAGGCCACCUUCUUUGGGAGACUAAUAGCUGAGCUACUGGAAAUUGAUGCCAAUGCAAGGUAAAGAAAGAAUUUGUCAUACUGCGUGUGCUGCUGGUCUCUGAAUAGUACUUCUGUCCAUCUGCAUGCCUGAAGAUGCAAAGAAAACAGGCAACAAAAGAUCUUGCAAGCAGUAUGCUGACAUUUCAAUAUUCCUUCAGCUCACCAGUUCAGGCUACAGUCACAGCAAGAAAAGCAACUUGUGUAACCAUGAAUAGCCUGAGAUUCAUUUCACUGGAUUUCCCAAGAAUUUAAUUUUAAAUUGAAAGACCAUCAAACUUUUACUGAUGUGGAAUUGAAUGCUAUAGAGCUCCCUCAAAAAGCUUCAGGCAUUUAAACAGCAUCAAAAGAAAGAAGUUCACAGUAGAUAUAAAAGAUUUCCAUAAAACAGAUCCUGUACUGAUAAAGUUACUUUGAGAUGAGCAUUUAGGAGAUUUUGACCGUGAAGGCAACUUAGUCAGCCAAUGGGAACAAGAAGAAAAAGUGUGGAAAGA
Oxyura jamaicensis (ruddy duck) is the source of this 584-nucleotide long non-coding RNA. RefSeq lists it as uncharacterized. NCBI's taxonomy places the organism in Eukaryota, Metazoa, Chordata, Aves, Anseriformes, Anatidae. The transcript is spliced from 4 exons. The record is from RefSeq and is a predicted model, not a curated record.